RNAcentral lists this ribosomal RNA (592 nucleotides) under uncultured organism. Its description in RNAcentral is "bacterial SSU rRNA". It matches the Rfam family "Bacterial small subunit ribosomal RNA", at positions 18 to 606 of the family's 1533-position model. The record is from RNAcentral.
CCUGGCUCAGAACGAACGCUGGCGGCGCGUUUUAACAUGCAAGUCGUACGAGAACCCCGGUGCUUGCAUUGGGGGGAGAGUGGCGAACGGGUGAGUAACACGUGGAUUAUCUGCCUUCAGGUCUGGGAUAACCCCGGGAAACCGGGGCUAAUACCGGAUAAUAUGGCAACAUUAAAGGUGGGGACCUUCGGGCCUAUCGCCUGAAGAUGAGUCCGCGUCCCAUUAGCUUGUUGGUGGGGUAAUGGCCUACCAAGGCGACGAUGGGUAGCCGGCCUGAGAGGGUGUACGGCCACAUUGGGACUGAGAUACGGCCCAGACUCCUACGGGAGGCAGCAGUUAAGAAUCUUGCGCAAUGGGCGAAAGCCUGACGCAGCGACGCCGCGUGGACGAUGAAGGCCUUCGGGUUGUAAAGUCCGGUAAGCAGGGAAGACUAAGUGUAAAGUAAUAUCUUGCACGAUGACGGUACCUGCCUAAAGCCCCGGCUAACUACGUGCCAGCAGCCGCGGUAAUACGUAUGGCGCAAGCGUUGUUCGGAAUUAUCGGGCAUACAGGGCGUCUACGCCGGGCACUAAGUCAGGUGUGAAAGCCAUGG